CAUUCCAUUAGGUCUACCUUAGCGUUGUACAAAAAGAGAAACGAAAUAGGAAGAAGAUCUACUCACGUCAAAGUGAAUAAUCGAGUUUGACCGAAAAGAAUUCGCAAGUGUCACACUGAAUUGUCCCAGAAAUAACCUGUCGGGCAUGAAAACAACAACGAACCAGUCGCCGCUCCAGAUACGUUUUUGCGUCGUCCGUUGUACGAUAAUUACCUACCUAGCUGCGUUUGUAUGGAAUAUGCUGACUGCACGCCCUCUGUGUAUUUCUGUGCUACAUGAAACACUGAUGCCUCAGCCUACAUGCACUCAGCACUGUAUAACUUUCGAGUGAGAGACCAACGCUUGCUUCGGAAGAAAUAUCCUCCUGGCACUCGCGUCCGAUGCGGUUCCCCGUGUUAACGUUAGGCGUCGCUACCCGCUUUUUGCAGGUGGGCGUCCAGUGGCACCGUCAUGACAUACAGCUCAGCUCAGAGUCGUACUGCUUCUAGUUGGUCCGCAGUUCUAAGAUGUGUGCGUAUGUGGCUUACAUGUGAUGUUCCGGCCGUCCGUUUACUGGCUGAAUGUGUUUUGUAUGUGUAUUGUACGAACAAGGACUAACAAUGUUUGCGUGUUCUUAAAAUGUUCUUUCUUCACUUCGAUAUAAUGGGAAAGAUGUGCUUUGUGACGCUAUGGACUACAACAUUAUUCGUUAAGGAAUAUAACUGUAAAUUCAGUAUGUUUCCUUGUUCAUUAUGAGGUUUGUUGUGUUAAAGAUGGUACUGAGUCCCUGUUUUUCAGGGUCGAAGUGUUAGUGCUUUGCUCUCAUCGUGUGUUAGGUUAACCUCAAUUAGGCUAUAGCAUGGAACCAUCAUCUGUCUGCUCUUCUAACCUGCAACUCGCCUGCCUAGUGUCCAUUCUUCGUUUCAUAUCAGAACAUACCAGUCUAUGUUAACACUUUUAUUAAUUAUCCAUGCGUCUUUCCCAAGUUGUAUUGACUCAGAACUUUCUUCUAGUCUUUAUUGUAUUCUCUAAAAUGUUGUGACAGUAGAAACUGCUAAAAGACCUUGAUAGAAGUUGCUGGUCAACUUCAUAAACAGUCGUUUUGGUUUUGCAUUCUUUCAUUUAUGAUUAAGUAAACAUUUAAAGCGCGUAAAAUGAUUUAUAAUGUGUAAAAAUAACGUUGAACCGAGUUCUUUUGCCAGAAAAUAAAAGUGGGUUUAGAGGGAGUUGCUGGUCAACAACCUUUAUACAAACUCCAUCUUUCUUAAUAAAAAUUACACAUGAAAUAGGUGCAGUGGAAUCUAAAUAUUUAACUGGCAUAAAGGCGUGUGUGCAGAAAUAUCGUGACGAAGCUGGCCACCAAGUGUGUGUAAAAGGUGAUUUAAUUGAUUAAAGGGAGAAAUAAAUAGAAAAUUCAACUCUGUAAGAAAUUCCGUGUAUUGAAUUUGCGGAUCGACAACUCUUCUAUUCGUAUCUUUGAUGAAGAAACUGAUUAAGGAAUCUAAUCAUUGCUUUAGUAGUCACAUUGACUUAAAGUGAAUAAUCAGUGCAUUUGCAAGAUGCUACAUAUAGAAGUAACUGAAGUUGAAUUUACCACAAUGUAUCAUUUGAUUUGUGUUCCACAGAAAGAGAUCAAGUGGCAAGUGAGUUGCUAAAACUGAAAAUAGAACAAUCGCAAGCUAGUUACUUUUAUAUAGAUUAGCUUCUGUUUGACAAACCUCAAGUAACUAAAAUGUGAAUUAUGUACGUAAUUCAUUUGAAGGAAGUUGCAGGCCAAUUACUUUGAUGUAGUUACUUAUUUUUGGACACAUCCAAGAACGUGUUUGUUAAUUACCGACAUAUUGAAAGAAAUUGCAGGUCGAUUUCUUUAAAUAGUUUACAUAUUAUUGGAUGAAUUCCAAGAACGUGUGUGUAAACUGUGGACAUACUGGAAUUGAAAAACAAAUUGCCGGUCAAUUACUUUCAUUCCAAUACGUAUUGUUGGACAAAAAUCCAAUAACGAUAGUUUAGAUUAUCCAGAUAUUGGAUUUGAACGAAAUUGCUGGUCAAUUUCUUUUAUUACUUGUUCUUUGACACAUUCAAGACAUAUUGGCAUUGAAAGAAAUUGCAGGUCAAUUACUUUUAAAUAGUUAACUUACUGUUCAAAAGAGAUACAGAAACGUGUGUGUAAAUUAUCAACAUAUUUGAGUUUAAAGAAAUUGCUGGUCAGUUUUGUUGUUACUAAUUGUUGGACGUGAAUUUAAAAAAUUGGAGCUUAAAGUGAUGGAUUGCAAUUAUCGAUAGACCUCUGUGUGAAAACAUGUACAAGCCAAUGAAGUUUGUUACUUCUUGUUGGACUUACGGAAAAUGUUAACAUUGCAGCUUGUUACUGAAAGAAAAUAACUGAUUCUAAAAUAAGUUGCGUGCUGACUAUCUAUUUUUGGCGAGACUUCUUUUAUCACAUAAUUCUGGGAUUUAAUAACCGAAUAAAGUGGCGAAUCACUUGAGAUAAACUUAAUAUCACAUGACAUCGAGUGCUUUGCAUCCGAAAUUACGGUUGGACGGGCCCACGAAUGUUGCAGGUCAAUGAUUCUUUGCAAUAAAGCGUAGCUUUUAUUUUCUUUAUACGAAAUGUUGUGAUGUUUAUUCUGUUUUAAACAAAUAAGAGGUCUAAAAUAAACGUUUAUGCAACCGAUA
Molecule: non-coding RNA, 2655 nt
Organism: Zootermopsis nevadensis
Lineage: Eukaryota; Metazoa; Arthropoda; Insecta; Blattodea; Termopsidae
Source: RefSeq, a predicted model, not a curated record